UGAGGAAUAUUGGUCAAUGGGCGAGAGCCUGAACCAGCCAAGUAGCGUGCAGGAUGACGGCCCUAUGGGUUGUAAACUGCUUUUAUAUGGGAAUAAAGUGAGGGACGUGUCCCUUAUUGCAUGUACCAUAUGAAUAAGGACCGGCUAAUUCCGUUCCAGCAGCCGCGGUAAUACGGCAGGUCCAGGCGUUAUCCGGAUUUAUUGGGUUUAAAGGGAGCGUAGGCUGUUUGUUAAGCGUGUUGUGAAAUGUAAGAGCUCAACUUUUAGAUUGCAGCGCGAACUGGCAGACUUGAGUGCGCACAACGUAGGCGGAAUUCAUGGUGUAGCGGGGAAAUGCUUAGAUAUCAUGACGAAAUCCGAUUGCGAAGGCAGCUUACGGGAGCGCAACUGACGCUAAAGCUCGAAGGGGCGGGUAUCGAACAGG
This 424-nucleotide ribosomal RNA is filed under the name Verrucomicrobiota bacterium. RNAcentral describes it as "Verrucomicrobia bacterium partial 16S ribosomal RNA". It matches the Rfam family "Bacterial small subunit ribosomal RNA", at positions 355 to 776 of the family's 1533-position model. The record is from RNAcentral. Lineage: Bacteria; Pseudomonadati; Verrucomicrobiota.